This 200-nucleotide ribosomal RNA is filed under the name uncultured Diversispora. RNAcentral describes it as "partial small subunit ribosomal RNA". It matches the Rfam family "Eukaryotic small subunit ribosomal RNA", at positions 591 to 792 of the family's 1831-position model. Lineage: Eukaryota; Fungi; Glomeromycota; Glomeromycetes; Diversisporales; Diversisporaceae. The record is from RNAcentral.
CCAAUAGCGUAUAUUAAAGUUGUUGCAGUUAAAAAGCUCGUAGUUGAACUUCGGGGUUCACCCAUUGGUCAGGCUUAAUUGUCUGUACUGGUGAGAUGAGUCUCUACCUUCUGAGGAACUUUCAUGCCAUUUAUUUGGUGUGGUUGGAAAUCAGGACUGUUACUUUGAAAAAAUUAGAGUGUUUAAAGCAGGCUAACGUC